AUUGAACGCUGGCGGUAGGCUUAACACAUGCAAGUCGAGCGGGGGAAGGUAGCUUGCUACCGGACCUAGCGGCGGACGGGUGAGUAAUGCUUAGGAAUCUGCCUAUUAGUGGGGGACAACAUCUCGAAAGGGAUGCUAAUACCGCAUACGUCCUACGGGAGAAAGCAGGGGAUCUUCGGACCUUGCGCUAAUAGAUGAGCCUAAGUCGGAUUAGCUAGUUGGUGGGGUAAAGGCCUACCAAGGCGACGAUCUGUAGCGGGUCUGAGAGGAGGAGCGGCCACACUGGGCCUGAGACACGGCCCAGACUCCUACGGGAGGCAGCAGUGGGGAAUAUUGGACAAUGGGGGGAACCCUGAUCUAGCCAUGCCGCGUGUGUGAAGAAGGCCUUAUGGUUGUAAAGCACUUUAAGCGAGGAGGAGGCUCUUUUGGUUAAUACCCAAGAUGAGUGGACGUUACUCGCAGGAUAAGCACCGGCUAACUCUGUGCCAGCCGCCGCCGUAA
This 501-nucleotide ribosomal RNA is filed under the name uncultured bacterium. Its description in RNAcentral is "partial 16S ribosomal RNA". It matches the Rfam family "Bacterial small subunit ribosomal RNA", at positions 30 to 523 of the family's 1533-position model. The record is from RNAcentral.